RNAcentral lists this long non-coding RNA (2953 nucleotides) under Mytilus galloprovincialis (Mediterranean mussel). Lineage: Eukaryota; Metazoa; Mollusca; Bivalvia; Mytilida; Mytilidae. The record is from RNAcentral.
UUUCAUUUCAGAUGUACAGGAAUAGACAUUGAUACAAAAUUCGACUGACAAAUUUGAUAUUUAAGGAUGCCUAGUGCAUGAAAAGUAUGUAUGUAACUUUUGGUCGUACAUUGCAAAUUUUUUAUUCAGUUGCUGGAAAUAUGACACGAUUCCACACAUCUUACUUAAAACCAAUAUUAUUGAGAAUGGUAGUUUAUUACUACAUGUAAAUUGUUUGUUUAGCUCUCAAUCAUAAGGAAUCAAAAAACGAGAAAAAGAAUAGAAAAAAACGAUUUUAAAUUGUACCAUUUUUAAUUAACAAAGAGUGUACUCAAAAAAUUAAAUGGUUGCUAGCAUCAUUCGUAUAUAAAACGACUUUUGAGGAUCACGACAAGCCGUAAAAAUGUCUAAUUCUGCUGUCAAAGGACGUGCUAUUACAUGUAUAUUAAAGUAAGAUUUUGAGAUUUCUGGAACAUUUGAGUUUGAUAUAUUUGUUUUUAUAUUUUUGUUGGCAUAUCAUUAAAAUUGCCUGCUAGAAAAAAAGUGGCUGCUUACUUGAUUGGCUGCUAAAAGAGGCUGCCAGCUUAAGUCCAGUUAAAGAAUCUAUCAUUAUGUUUUUACAACGACAUAUCGUUAUUCUCGUAAUAUACAUGUAAACUCAAUAAAACAUUACAACUUAGAUACGUUCGUUGUGAGUUAUUGCUUUAUCUUUGUUUAUUUUUAUCAUUACGUCCUUAGGACUCCAACAUUUAAAUUAAACGAAAACAAUCAAUAUGUCACGUUGAAAGGUCUAGCCAUCGUUCAUUAGAAUUACUUAAAUAGGAACGUAUAACGUCAACAAUUUGAAAUGUUUACAGUGGUUUGAAAUCCAAGUGAAGUGAUGGAUGAGAAAACUAAAUGAUAUUCGAGUUUCAUUUAAAUUUUCAAUCGUUUAAGUCAUGCUUACUUUGAUGCAAGAUCUUAAAUAAUGCAAUGCAAACAAAUCAUAUCACCUUCAGUUUAAUUUCAAAAUUGUUACGACGUUUCCGUGAUCCAAUACCACCCAAUAAUAUGUGUCUAGCAAUUAUAUGGUGUUGAAAUUCACGUAUAUAUAUAACAUCUUAUUAUUUGAUUUGUUAAAAAGAAAUGCACUUUUGCACAUUACAGACAAUAGUUAGCUUGGCCCUCGUUUGCUUUUAACAUUUGUAAUUAACAGUGUCAUAUAACCAUUAAAACGAUAGAUGAUGUUUUUCUGAACCUGAACAAAUAAUGAAAGCAUGAGGUAAGCAACAGUUAAAAUGCUAGAAAUAAUACAUACAAACUAGUUAUCAUAACUUUGAAUAAUUUUUUUGUAUGGUUUUAAAAUCUGCCACAUAGCGAAUAUUUUUUCGAAUUUAAAGUUUUUCCUUGUGGACUCCUUUUAAUAUUUAUUUUGGACCAGGAAAUCAAACAGCAUGUAUAUUAUGAUGCCUCCCGCAAUUUAUACUUUACCAAUAUCUUCCGAUUUUUUAGGUUAACUGAACUGCCAUUAAUGAAACACGAACUUCCGUAUGCAAUUUUACAGAGCAUCUCUGGUCGUUGUCUGAUAUUAUUUAGUUACAUAGUGUGGUAGUGACCUAAUACGAUAUAUAUGGAGUCAGUAAAUUCCAUAUAGGGUGAAAACGAAGCUCGGUAAAUUGCAUAUUGGGUGACAGUGAAGCUCGAAUCCCUAUUUGGAAUUUACUGAACCCAUAUAUAUUAGGUCAAUAGCACACUCUGUAACGAAUUGAUCUUACCGACUAUCUUAACAUGUGAUAUUAAGACAAGUGGCCUAUCAAAGUGAUCAAGUCUUCAAUACCGUUAGUAAUAAGAACAUACUUCCAAUGGUCUAUACAACCACAAAUGCAAACAAUAACAACUUGCUAGUUUUGAAUGUAUUUUAUGAAUUUACUUCAAUCGUUCAUCAUCAAGAUGUAACGGUCAUAGAACAACAUCGUCCAUACUUUGUGAAGACGCGUCGCCAAUGUUUUUGUUUCGAAAAUAAAUUUCCUCUAUAAAGUAUUUAGAUAUAUGAAUGCAGAUGGUUGUAUUGACUUUUAAAUGGUUUAUGCUGUAUUUACAUUGUUUGGCAUGUUUUUAUGUAUUAUACACUUGGAAUAUGCAUUAUAUAUAUACUUCCGCAAAUUUACAGACCUAACAUUGUUGCGCUGUUGUUUAGACGAAUUAUAUAAUACACAUAAUCUAUUUUCAGCCUUGUAUCAACAUCACUGCUGGUGAUCCGAUGGAAAACAAAAUUGUUAUCGAGUCGUCACUGGUUCAGACGCACUUAUAAUAUAAUUAUUUCUGUGACUGCAUCUUACAUUAAUUUGUAGGAUCCUUUACAAAAGAUAAUUCAGCUGAUCUGUAACAAUUCUAUCUUCAUGCCUAAUACAUCAUGUACUGUGUUACGACGCUAGAUAAAAACUGUCAAGGAAAGGUAACACACGGCCACCGAAAUCUUUAUAGAGCCUAAGUGAUUGAGUGGUCUAGCGCGUCGGGCAUAGUGCAAGGCGAUUUGGUGCCACGAUAUCUCAAUAGCAUGAAUUUGAAUCCCGGGCAUAGUGCAAGGCUUCCGCAAAUUUACAGAUCUAACAUUGUUGGGCUGUUGUUUAGACGAAUUCUAUAAUAUAUAUCAUAUAUAAAUGUGCUUGAUCUAAAUAGAAAAAAUAUAGAUCUUUAAUAUCUUGCUUAAAUGCUUAAAACAAACUGAAAAAAAAAAGAAUUGAAUACCCAAAAAUAGGAGAUUAGAAUUUGUCAUCAUUAAAACAAAAGAUUCGUUGGAAGUAUAAAAGAAAUAUGUCAGAUAAUGUAUAAUAAAAAAAUACAAGAAGAUUGAUAAUUGCUUAUUAUUAUUUCUUGUUGACUGUCGUGACACGUAUAUCACGCGAUCCUAUGAUUUUGCGCCAAUUGGCAUUUCAUUUGCGCCAGAAACUAUAUUUCGUUUGCGCUAAAAUAAAACAUUUCAUUUGCCCCAUAC